RNAcentral lists this ribosomal RNA (404 nucleotides) under uncultured bacterium. RNAcentral's name for it is "bacterial SSU rRNA". It matches the Rfam family "Bacterial small subunit ribosomal RNA", at positions 355 to 776 of the family's 1533-position model. The record is from RNAcentral.
UGGGGAAUAUUGCACAAUGGGGGGAACCCUGAUGCAGCGACGCCGCGUGAGUGAAGAAGUAUUUCGGUAUGUAAAGCUCUAUCAGCAGGGAAGAAGAUGACGGUACCUGACUAAGAAGCCCCGGCUAACUACGUGCCAGCAGCCGCGGUAAUACGUAGGGGGCAAGCGUUAUCCGGAUUUACUGGGUGUAAAGGGAGCGUAGACGGCAGGGCAAGUCUGGAGUGAAAGCCCGGGGCCCAACCCCGGGACUGCUUUGGAAACUGCCAUGCUGGAGUGCUGGAGAGGUAAGCGGAAUUCCUAGUGUAGCGGUGAAAUGCGUAGAUAUUAGGAGGAACACCAGUGGCGAAGGCGGCUUACUGGACAGUAACUGACGUUGAGGCUCGAAAGCGUGGGGAGCAAACAGG